UGCAAGUCGAACGGCAGCGCGGACUUCGGUCUGGCGGCGAGUGGCGAACGGGUGAGUAAUGUAUCGGAACGUGCCCAGUAGCGGGGGAUAACUACUCGAAAGAGUAGCUAAUACCGCAUACGCCCUACGGGGGAAAGGGGGGGAUCGCAAGACCUCUCACUAUUGGAGCGGCCGAUAUCGGAUUAGCUAGUUGGUGAGGUAAAGGCUCACCAAGGCGACGAUCCGUAGCUGGUUUGAGAGGACGACCAGCCACACUGGGACUGAGACACGGCCCAGACUCCUACGGGAGGCAGCAGUGGGGAAUUUUGGACAAUGGGGGAAACCCUGAUCCAGCCAUUCCGCGUGUGCGAUGAAGGCCUUCGGGUUGUAAAGCACUUUUGGCAGGAAAGAAAUCGCAUGGAUUAAUACUCUGUGUGGAUGACGGUACCUGCAGAAUAAGCACCGGCUAACUACGUGCCAGCAGCCGCGGUAAUACGUAGGGUGCAAGCGUUAAUCGGAAUUACUGGGCGUAAAGCGUGCGCAGGCGGUUCGGAAAGAAAGGUGUGAAAUCCCAGGGCUUAACCUUGGAACUGCACUUUUAACUACCGAGCUAGAGUAUGUCAGAGGGGGGUGGAAUUCCGCGUGUAGCAGUGAAAUGCGUAGAUAUGCGGAGGAACACCGAUGGCGAAGGCAGCCCCCUGGGAUAAUACUGACGCUCAUG
This 700-nucleotide ribosomal RNA is filed under the name uncultured beta proteobacterium. RNAcentral describes it as "bacterial SSU rRNA". It matches the Rfam family "Bacterial small subunit ribosomal RNA", at positions 56 to 751 of the family's 1533-position model. The record is from RNAcentral. Lineage: Bacteria; Pseudomonadati; Pseudomonadota; Betaproteobacteria.